UAACCCGCACCACUUAUCGUGGUGGGAGACAGUGUCAGGCGGGCAGUUUGACUGGGGCGGUCGCCUCCUAAAAGGGAACGGAGGCGCUCAAAGGGUCCCUCAGAAUGGUUGGAAAUCAUUCAUAGAGUGUAAAGGCAUAAGGGAGCUUGACUGCGAGACCUACAAGUCGAGCAGGGUCGAAAGACGGACUUAGUGAUCCGGUG
RNAcentral lists this ribosomal RNA (203 nucleotides) under Staphylococcus aureus. RNAcentral's name for it is "partial 23S ribosomal RNA". It matches the Rfam family "Bacterial large subunit ribosomal RNA", at positions 2223 to 2425 of the family's 2925-position model. The record is from RNAcentral. Lineage: Bacteria; Bacillati; Bacillota; Bacilli; Caryophanales; Staphylococcaceae.